GAUGAACGCUGGCGGCGUGCCUAAUACAUGCAAGUCGAGCGAACAGACGAGGAGCUUGCUCCUUUGACGUUAGCGGCGGACGGGUGAGUAACACGUGGAUAACCUACCUAUAAGACUGGGAUAACUUCGGGAAACCGGAGCUAAUACCGGAUAACAUGUUGAACCGCAUGGUUCAACAGUGAAAGACGCUCUUGCUGUCACUUAUAGAUGGUUCCGCGCCGCAUUAGCUAGUUGGUAAGGUAACGGCUUACCAAGGCAACGAUGCGUAGCCGACCUGAGAGGGUGAUCGGCCACACUGGAACUGAGACACGGUCCAGACUCCUACGGGAGGCAGCAGUAGGGAAUCUUCCGCAAUGGGCGAAAGCCUGACGGAGCAACGCCGCGUGAGUGAAGAAGGUCUUCGGAUCGUAAAACUCUGUUAUUAGGGAAGAACAAAUGUGUAAGUAACUAUGCACGUCUUGACGGUACCUAAUCAGAAAGCCACGGCUAACUACGUG
RNAcentral lists this ribosomal RNA (497 nucleotides) under uncultured bacterium. Its description in RNAcentral is "partial 16S ribosomal RNA". It matches the Rfam family "Bacterial small subunit ribosomal RNA", at positions 28 to 507 of the family's 1533-position model. The record is from RNAcentral.